GAUAAACGCUGGCGGCGUGCCUAACACAUGCAAGUCGAACGCCUUACGCAAGUAAGGAGUGGCGGACGGGUGAGGAACACGUGGGGAUCUACCCAAAGGUGAGGAAUACCGGCGAGAAAUCGCCGACAAAACCGCAUAGCCUUCUUUGGAAGGAAAGUCGCAAGACGCCUGUGGAUGAACCUGCGUCCGAUUAGUUAGCUGGUGGGGUAAAGGCCUACCAGGACGACGAUCGGUAGCUGGUCUGAGAGGACGAUCAGCCACACUGGGAUUGAGAACG
Molecule: ribosomal RNA, 277 nt
Filed under: uncultured bacterium
Lineage: Bacteria
Description: partial 16S ribosomal RNA
Rfam family: Bacterial small subunit ribosomal RNA
Source: RNAcentral